This 86-nucleotide transfer RNA is filed under the name Candidatus Woesearchaeota archaeon. Its description in RNAcentral is "tRNA-Leu". It matches the Rfam family "tRNA". From Rfam's summary of the family: Transfer RNA (tRNA) molecules are approximately 80 nucleotides in length. The record is from RNAcentral. Lineage: Archaea; Nanobdellati; Candidatus Woesearchaeota.
GCGGGGGUGGCGGAGCUUGGUCAAACGUGCUAGCUUGAGGGGCUAGUCCCUUAGUGGGUGCGCGUGUUCAAAUCACGUCCCCCGCA